AGUGAGAAUGCCGGAAUGAGUAGCGAGAAUUAUGUGAGAAUCAUAAUGGCCGAAAAUCUAAGGUUUCCUGAGGAAGGUUCGUCCGCUCAGGGUAAGCCGGGGGCUAAGGCGAGGCGGAGACGCGUAGCCGAUGCACAUACGGUUGAAAUUCCGUAGCCACCGAAAGAUUUAAGUACAGGGACGCUUUAGAAGUGAUGUAGCCGGGCGAUGGUUGACCCGGUCGUAAGGGAUCGAAAAUGAGUAGAGAAGUCAUCAUGGAAAGAGACAAGAAAAGCUGUAUGAAUAUCUUAGGUGCCCGUACCGCAAACCGACACAGGUAGAUAGGAAGAAGAUUCUAAGGCCAACGGGAGAAGGGUUGUUAAGGAACUCGGCAAGUUGACCCCGUAACUUAGGGAUAAGGGGUGCUCAAGUGAUUGAGCCGCAGAGAAUAGGCCCAGGCGACUGUUUAGCAAAAACACAGGUCUCUGCUAAAUCGAAAGAUGACGUAUAGGGGCUGACACCUGCCCGGUGCCGGAAGGUUAAGAGGAGAUGUGAGAGCAUUGAAUUGAAGCCCCGGUAAACGGCGGCCGUAACUAUAACGGUCCUAAGGUAGCGAAAUUCCUUGUCAGGUAAGUUCUGACCCGCACGAAAGGUGUAACGAUCUGGGCACUGUCUCAACAACCCGCCCGGCGAAAUUGUAGUACCGGUGAAGAUGCCGGUUACCCGCGACUAGACGGAAAGACCCCAUGGAGCUUUACUGUAGCCUAAUAUUGGAUUUCGGUAUUUCACGUACAGGAUAGGUGGGAGACUGGGAAGCACAGGCGUCAGCUUGUGUGGAGUCGACCUUGGGAUACCACUCUUGGAGUGCUGGAAUUCUAACCUGCGGCUUUGAAGCAAGUCGGGGGACAUUGUUAGGUGGGCAGUUUGACUGGGGCGGUCGCCUCCUAAAGAGUAACGGAGGCGCUCAAAGGUUCGCUCUGCAUGGAUGGAAACCAUGCGUCAGAGUGUAAACGCAAAAGCGAGCCUAACUGCGAGAAUGACGGUUCGAGCAGUAACGAAAGUUGGAGUUAGUGAUCCGGCGGUAUGUGAAUGGAAAUGCCGUCGCUCAACGGAUAAAAGCUACCCUGGGGAUAACAGGCUGAUCUCCCCCAAGAGUCCACAUCGACGGGGAGGUUUGGCACCUCGAUGUCGGCUCAUCGCAUCCUGGGGCUGUAUUCGGUCCCAAGGGUUUGGCUGUUCGCCAAUUAAAGCGGUACGCGAGCUGGGUUCAGAACGUCGUGAGACAGUUCGGUCCCUAUCUGUCGUGGGCGUAGGAUAUUUGCAAGGAGCUGUCCCUAGUACGAGAGGACCGGGAUGGACGCACCUCUGGUGCACCAGUUGUCACGCCAGUGGCACAGCUGGGCAGCUAUGUGCGGAACGGAUAAACGCUGAAGGCAUCUAAGCGUGAAGCUGCCCUUAAGAUAAGAUAUCCCUUCUGUUUACAGAGUAAGACCCCUUGAAGACUACAAGGUUGAUAGGCUCAAAGUGUAAGCACGGUGACGUGUUUAGCUAGCGAGUACUAAUCGGUCGAGGGCUUAACCU
RNAcentral lists this ribosomal RNA (1560 nucleotides) under human gut metagenome. RNAcentral's name for it is "bacterial LSU rRNA". It matches the Rfam family "Bacterial large subunit ribosomal RNA", at positions 1287 to 2925 of the family's 2925-position model. The record is from RNAcentral.